RNAcentral lists this ribosomal RNA (492 nucleotides) under uncultured bacterium. Its description in RNAcentral is "partial 16S ribosomal RNA". It matches the Rfam family "Bacterial small subunit ribosomal RNA", at positions 28 to 507 of the family's 1533-position model. The record is from RNAcentral.
GUUGAACGCUGGCGGCAUGCUUUACACAUGCAAGUCGAACGGUAACCGUUUUUCGGGUGCUUCGGCGUGUUUAACUGGUUUGUAAUGCAUAAGGGCUUACUCACGCGUGGGGAAUCACGCUGCGACAGCUGUGUUACAACCGCAAAUGACUUCUGGUUGAACGCAGGGGCCCGAGCAGGAAUGUUCGGCCUCGCACAUUUCCGGUGGUCGAUGUCGGAUUAGCUAGUUGGGGGGGUAAAGGUCUACCAAGGCGACGCUCCGUAGCUGGUCUGAGAGGACGAACAGCCACACUGGGACUGAGACACGGCCCAGACUCCUACGGGAGGCAGCAGUGGGGAAUUUUGGACAAUGGGCGAAAGCCUGAUCCAGCAAUGCCGCGUGCGGGAAGAAGGCCUUCGGGUUGUAAACCGCUUUUGGAAGGAACGAAACGGUGUCCGCUAAUACCGGGAGCUAAUGACGGUACCUGCAGAAUAAGCACCGGCUAACUACGUG